GCCUAUGAUGAUUCAAUCCGCUUGUUUGAGGUGUGGUGGAGCUGAGACCCUGUUUUCAGGGAGAACCCCUCGGCGAAGCCACAUUUCGUAUGACAUUAAUGGAUUUAGCUGAGGU
Small nucleolar RNA from Prunus persica (peach), 115 nucleotides. It matches the Rfam family "Small nucleolar RNA Z278". Rfam says of the family: snoZ278 is a C/D box small nucleolar RNA. Its methylation guide targets have not been reported. NCBI's taxonomy places the organism in Eukaryota, Viridiplantae, Streptophyta, Magnoliopsida, Rosales, Rosaceae. The record is from Rfam.